This 485-nucleotide ribosomal RNA is filed under the name uncultured bacterium. Its description in RNAcentral is "partial 16S ribosomal RNA". It matches the Rfam family "Bacterial small subunit ribosomal RNA", at positions 28 to 523 of the family's 1533-position model. The record is from RNAcentral.
GACGAACGCUGGCGGCGUGCUUAACACAUGCAAGUCGAACGGUGAAGGUGGAGCUUGCUCCGCCGGAUCAGUGGCGAACGGGUGAGUAACACGUGGGCAACCUGCCCCUCACUUCGGGAUAACUCCGGGGAACCGGGGCUAAUACCGGAUACGACCUCCUUGGGCAUCCUUGGAGGUGGAAAGUUUUUCGGUGAGGGAUGGGCCCGCGGCCUAUCAGCUUGUUGGUGAGGUAGUGGCUCACCAAGGCGACGACGGGUAGCCGGCCUGAGAGGGCGACAGGCCAGACUGGGACUGAGACACGGCCCAGACUACUACGGGAGGCAGCAGUGGGGAAUAUUGCGCAAUGGGCGAAAGCCUGACGCAGCAACGCCGCGUGCGGGAUGAAGGCCUUCGGGUUGUAAACCGCUUUCAGCAGGGAAGAAGCCGCAAGGUGACGGUACCUGCAGAAGAAGCACCGGCUAACUACGUGCCAGCCGCCGCCGUAA